GGAUGUGAAGGUGAUCUGGCUAUGACAUCUGUCACCACAUUGAUCACCAGGGUUGAUUCAGCUGAUCUGGCUGGCUAGGCAGGUGUCCCCUUCCUCCAUCAAUAAUCCAUGUGUGUCCCUCCCGAAGCUGAGAGCUCAGUUAAAGAGGAUGACCACCCCCGAUAGAGGAGGACUAUCCCUUGGUCCAGGGUAUGCGAGUAGCUGCGCUCCCCUGCUAGAAUCUCCAAACAGGCUCUCUAGAAGCUGCUAGAGAAAAGAAACAGAUCAUAUUUAAAGGAAAACCAUCAGAAUAAUGGCAGAU
Molecule: small nuclear RNA, 301 nt
Filed under: Octodon degus (degu)
Lineage: Eukaryota; Metazoa; Chordata; Mammalia; Rodentia; Octodontidae
Description: 7SK RNA (ENSODEG00000023783.1)
Rfam family: 7SK RNA
About the family: 7SK was discovered as an abundant small nuclear RNA in the mid-70s but a possible function has only recently been suggested. Two independent studies have found that 7SK RNA binds the CDK9/cyclin T complex (known as elongation factor P-TEFb).
Source: Rfam by way of RNAcentral